UGGGGGAUAUUGCACAAUGGGCGAAAGCCUGAUGCAGCGACGCCGCGUGGGGGAUGAAGGCUUUCGGGUUGUAAACCUCUUUCGCUAUCGAACAAGGCCCGCUUAGGGUGGGUUGAGGGUAGGUGGAGAAGAAGCGCCGGCUAACUACGUGCCAGCAGCCGCGGUAAUACGUAGGGCGCGAGCGUUGUCCGGAAUUAGUGGGCGUAAAGGGCUUGUAGGCGGCUUGUUGCGCCUGCUGUGAAAACGCGGGGCUUAACUUCGCGCGUGCAGUGGGUACGGGCAGGCUUGAGUGUAGUAGAGGUGACUGGAAUUCCAGGUGUAGCGGUGGAAUGCGCAGAUAUCUGGAGGAACACCGAUGGCGAAGGCAGGUCACUGGGCCAUUACUGACGCUGAGGAGCGAAAGCAUGGGUAGCGAACAGG
This 420-nucleotide ribosomal RNA is filed under the name bacterium. RNAcentral describes it as "partial 16S ribosomal RNA". It matches the Rfam family "Bacterial small subunit ribosomal RNA", at positions 355 to 776 of the family's 1533-position model. The record is from RNAcentral.